CUUCACCGACCCGAGCCACAGCGGCGUUUCCCGGUUCUGGCCGUAGGUGGCCAGCAGCGCCUCGGCCUC
Molecule: non-coding RNA, 69 nt
Organism: Amycolatopsis mediterranei S699
Lineage: Bacteria; Bacillati; Actinomycetota; Actinomycetes; Pseudonocardiales; Pseudonocardiaceae
Source: Rfam